This 501-nucleotide ribosomal RNA is filed under the name uncultured bacterium. RNAcentral's name for it is "partial 16S ribosomal RNA". It matches the Rfam family "Bacterial small subunit ribosomal RNA", at positions 30 to 523 of the family's 1533-position model. The record is from RNAcentral.
AUUGAACGCUGGCGGCAGGCUUAACACAUGCAAGUCGAGCGGGGGAAGGUAGCUUGCUACUGGACCUAGCGGCGGACGGGUGAGUAAUGCUUAGGAAUCUGCCUAUUAGUGGGGGACAACAUCUCGAAAGGGAUGCUAAUACCGCAUACGUCCUACGGGAGAAAGCAGGGGAUCUUCGGACCUUGCGCUAAUAGAUGAGCCUAAGUCGGAUUAGCUAGUUGGUGGGGUAAAGGCCUACCAAGGCGACGAUCUGUAGCGGGUCGGAGAGGAUGAUCCGCCACACGGGGAAUGAGACACGGACCAGACUCCUACGGGAGGCGGCAGUGGGGAAUAUUGGACAAUGGGGGGAACCCUGAGCCAGCCAUGCCGCGUGUGUGAAGAAGGCCUUAUGGUUGUAAAGCACUUUAAGCGAGGAGGAGGCUACUUUAGUUAAUACCUAGGGAUAGUGGACGUUACUCGCAGAAUAAGCACCGGCUAACUCUGUGCCAGCCGCCGCCGUAA